This 758-nucleotide ribosomal RNA is filed under the name Campylobacter jejuni. Its description in RNAcentral is "partial 23S ribosomal RNA". It matches the Rfam family "Bacterial large subunit ribosomal RNA", at positions 465 to 1221 of the family's 2925-position model. The record is from RNAcentral. Lineage: Bacteria; Pseudomonadati; Campylobacterota; Epsilonproteobacteria; Campylobacterales; Campylobacteraceae.
CCUAAAUACUAAUACCAGAUCGAUAGUGUACAAGUACCGUGAGGGAAAGGUGAAAAGAACUGAGGUGAUCAGAGUGAAAUAGAACCUGAAACCAUUUGCUUACAAUCAUUCAGAGCCCUAUGUAGCAAUACAGGGUGAUGGACUGCCUUUUGCAUAAUGAGCCUGCGAGUUGUGGUGUCUGGCAAGGUUAAGCAAACGCGAAGCCGUAGCGAAAGCGAGUCUGAAUAGGGCGCUUAGUCAGAUGCUGCAGACCCGAAACGAAGUGAUCUAUCCAUGAGCAAGUUGAAGCUAGUGUAAGAACUAGUGGAGGACUGAACCCAUAGGCGUUGAAAAGCCCCGGGAUGACUUGUGGAUAGGGGUGAAAGGCCAAUCAAACUUCGUGAUAGCUGGUUCUCUCCGAAAUAUAUUUAGGUAUAGCGUUGUGUCGUAAUAUAAGGGGGUAGAGCACUGAAUGGGCUAGGGCAUACACCAAUGUACCAAACCCUAUCAAACUCCGAAUACCUUAUAUGUAAUCACAGCAGUCAGGCGGCGAGUGAUAAAAUCCGUCGUCAAGAGGGAAACAACCCAGACUACCAGCUAAGGUCCCUAAAUCUUACUUAAGUGGAAAACGAUGUGAAGUUACUUAAACAACCAGGAGGUUGGCUUAGAAGCAGCCAUCCUUUAAAGAAAGCGUAAUAGCUCACUGGUCUAGUGAUUUUGCGCGGAAAAUAUAACGGGGCUAAAGUAAGUACCGAAGCUGUAGACUUGCACACAACUUA